CUGAAUAAUGGGAAAGAGUGUGCCCUUUUAACUCAUAUGGGUAAAGAUGCUGCUUCAACCCAUAAGUUCUUGGUUUGUUGUUAUGAGAUUUUUAAAAACAUCAUGACUCAUAUCGAUAAGGUGUUUGUGAAAGCAUCCAAAACGAUUGCAGAUGCAAGGUGAAGGCUCAAAGUUACAAUUGAUUCCAUUCGGUAA
This 195-nucleotide ribosomal RNA is filed under the name Triticum aestivum (bread wheat). Its description in RNAcentral is "partial small subunit ribosomal RNA". Lineage: Eukaryota; Viridiplantae; Streptophyta; Magnoliopsida; Poales; Poaceae. The record is from RNAcentral.